CCAACACUUCCAUCCAUCCAUGCCUCUGGCGGGAGGAAGCUGAACUGCUCAAGUAUUUGUCAAAGUCUAGUGUGUUGCUGUUGUAAAUCAAGGCGAGCUCUGCAUUUAACUCUCAUAAGUUCAUUGGAAAAGCAAACCCUGUGCUACUGAAAUGAAGAUUUAAUUUCAGCUCAGCAGGCUCAGGCCCUGUUUUGUGACAGAAAGCACCGUCCCAGAGAGAGCUGAAUUCUCUGUGUACUGUGUGAAGUUCUGUGUGGCUGUGACACACCGUUUAUCAUGCGGUGUGAAAUACAGUUUGGUCACAGAUUUAUGACAGUAGCCCAGCAGUGUAACUCAGCUGCACUGGCUGUGUUCAGCAAGGACUUAAAAAAGAAAUAAUGAGCUUGGCCACUCUCUCCGUUUAUACACUGUGAUUAUAAAUAAAUAAAUUGGAUAGUGAUAGCUCUUUGACAAGGAGUGGACUGGGAUGUUGUCCUGUAUUACUUACCUUCUCAAACAAAACUUCUGUGGAAAUAUUACAUUAACUACUUUGUCCACAGAAUGCAAAUGGAAAUAGUGACCUCAGUGUUUACAUCAAACCUGUUGGCAAAUGUGUCCCAGAUACUCAUGACUGAACUAGAUUAUUUGCUUACCAGAUGAAUUAAAUGGUAAUAUGUCAGAGCGGCUUUCUCCAAAGAACAAAUCUGUGAAAACCUGAAACCCAGCAAAUAUAUAUUUAACUAUUAUUAAGUAGAGAAAUUUGCUGUUUCAGAUGAUUGUUGGAUACCAAACUAGAACCAAAGAGGUAAAUAUUCUCCUUAUAUGGGUAGUAAAAGAGGUGUAAUACAGCCUCUCCUUUCCUGAUGACAGAGGAUCCUUCUUUCUACCUAUUCAUUCUUUAUGAAAAGCCAGUGAAACGGAGGAAUGUGAUUCUGAAAUCUACUCUGUGGGCAAAGGUACUUUUCAUCUCUUAACGGUAAAACCAUUCAAUUUCUCCUACAAUGAAGAUAUAGUUCAGAAUAGAGCCAUGUCAGAAAAGAGCAAGAUAACAUACAAGCACAUACUGGACUGAAAACAAUUUCUGCCAGCAAUAAACUUCCAUCAUUUAUUAAUUGGCAGUAAAAGACUUAUUUCACAGAUGCCUGACAGGUCAGUGAGGGAGGUCCUGGGAGGAAGGGUAAGAGGUAGUGUUGCUGUUUGCCUUCCUUUCUCAUCAUUAUUGCUAGGUUUAAGUCAUCCUUUUUCUUUUGUCUACCACAGAGCUCUUGACCCCACUCAGAGCCGUUGCUCCUUGUUAUGAAGUGACCAUUAUGCUGUUGUGUCAAGAGCCAACAGGAGCUCUCUGCAGGUUGUGGUGGUGUGAGUAAAGGAUUUGCCUCUGACCUGAUCUUGUACUAAUGAGGAUCAACAUUUGUGACUUCUCUGAGCAGAAUCAAGAAACUUUACAAAAAUAAGGAGAAUGACAGUGUUCCAAAGUGUUCUCUUUUCCUUGGCUCUGCUGAAAAUGUUUUUCUUUAAGCUUCCUUCUCCUGCUUUUCACAAGCCUACUACCUUAUGUUAAAAAAGAAAAAAAAAAGAAGAAACAGUGUGACCCUCCUGUCAUUUAAUGUCACAGUUUUGUUUCUAAUUGUUACCCAUCGGCUUCUCUAAUAAAGCACAUGUUUUUCUCAAGGAACUGACUGCUUCUCUGGCAGCUGGAAGACUUUUUCAGCGUGGUGUAAUAACAGAAACCUCUCUGUGAAGCACUUUCUGUCUAUCAGCUUUUGCUUGGCAGCCUAGCAUUAAACAGACACGGAGUAAAAAGGAAAGAGUAAAGGUUUUGAAUUGCAAGAAAGGUCAGAUCUUCUUAAAGUGCCGGUGCUCUUCAGUGACAGGCUUAGCAGUGAUACAGACAUCUUCAAAAUUGCUUAGACUAAUCCUUAGUGGAAGAACAUCAAGA
This is a non-coding RNA of Cyanistes caeruleus (blue tit), 1918 nucleotides long. The record is from RefSeq and is a predicted model, not a curated record. Lineage: Eukaryota; Metazoa; Chordata; Aves; Passeriformes; Paridae.